Molecule: non-coding RNA, 909 nt
Organism: Cyanistes caeruleus (blue tit)
Lineage: Eukaryota; Metazoa; Chordata; Aves; Passeriformes; Paridae
Source: RefSeq, a predicted model, not a curated record
GUCAACAGACAGAAAGCAUUGUUUCCUUACGCUGCUGAACAGUCUGAGAUUCAACGGAAAUUUGGCACAAGACUAGUCCUGCAGUAUGUAAAUGAACUCUGCAUUUCUUUAGAUUUCCUGAUUUACAUGUGGACUAGAAGUACUGUGAUAAUUUUUAAAAGACUUUCCGUGGAAAAAUUUGUCUAAUUUACAGCGUCAAAGGGAAGUACCAAAUCCUUUAACUGUGUUUGAUCACAAAGAAAUAAGCUGCAUCUGCAAAAAGAGUGCUUUCAACAUUUCUAAUUAAGUAGCUUAGGAGAAAAUAUGCAGCCAUUUUGUUAGUACCACACUUCUUACAUAAAUGGCACUUCAGAUCAGCUGCACGCUUAGUCACACGAGUCUGUGAAUAAUUCAUCAGAGGAGACGCGUCACCCUCGUCAGAAAGAAAAGCUUUGCAGUGGAAGUAACGUUAGCAGUGGUUAUUUCCUUUCCAAAGCCUCAGGAAAGAGGUGAGCCUCUGAAAAGUACUGAAGUGCCACAGGGAAGGUUCUGGAAUCAUCAUGGUAAAAUGGAUUUGAUGUGCAAACAGGACAGUUAUUGUGAAUUGAGUACAUGUACCGCUGGAGAUGUAAUGUCACUUAUUGGCUUAAUCAAGGGCUUUUGAAGAUAUGUGUCCAUUUUUUUCAAACAUUUGUAAUAUUUAUCUUUAUCAACUAUUUCCUCUGUAUAAGGUUUGUGUAAUAUCACAAGGAAAUGCUGUUUGGUUCACAGUUUGUCAGAUUGGCAUUGAAGCUGUCUAUUCAUUUUAAUUGGUAUAUCAUUGACAGGUUGUGAACUAUACCUUCAAGAUCAAUAUUUAUAAUACAAUGGAUAAAAAGAUAUUGUCUAGAAAAAAAGUAUACUUCCUUUUGAAAUGUGCCAGUAGUAAUA